AGAGUUUGAUCCUGGCUCAGGAUGAACGCUGGCGGCGUGCUUAACACAUGCAAGUCGAACGAAGCACUUUACCGGAUUUCUUCGGGAUGAAAGUUUUGUGACUGAGUGGCGGACGGGUGAGUAACGCGUGGGUAACCUGCCUCAUACAGGGGGAUAACAGUUAGAAAUGACUGCUAAUACCGCAUAAGACCACAGGAUUGCAUGAUCCGGUGGUAAAAACUCCGGUGGUAUGAGAUGGACCCGCGUCUGAUUAGGUAGUUGGUGGGGUAACGGCUCACCAAGCCGACGAUCAGUAGCCGACCUGAGAGGGUGACCGGCCACAUUGGGACUGAGACACGGCCCAAACUCCUACGGGAGGCAGCAGUGGGGAAUAUUGCACAAUGGGGGAAACCCUGAUGCAGCGACGCCGCGUGAGCGAUGAAGUAUUUCGGUAUGUAAAGCUCUAUCAGCAGGGAAGAAAAUGACGGUACCUGACUAAGAAGCACCGGCUAAAUACGUGCCAGCAGCCGCGGU
Molecule: ribosomal RNA, 513 nt
Filed under: uncultured human intestinal bacterium
Lineage: Bacteria
Description: bacterial SSU rRNA
Rfam family: Bacterial small subunit ribosomal RNA
Source: RNAcentral